UGGGGGUUCAAAGUGACUGGUUUUGCCGGAAGAAGUCAGCUCUUUCACCAAAAAGAUGGCCGCUUAUUUACCAGACAAGUCCUAAAGGCAUGAAGGUCAAGAGUUGGAACUUAUAUAUAGAAAUAAAACCAGGCAAAACCAAACCAAGCUCACGAAGAGACAACACCUCUGGUGGUUGCCAGAGAUGGGGAUGUGGAUGAAAUGGGUGAAGGAGAUCAAAAGAUAAAACUUCUACAUAUAAAUAA
Suricata suricatta (meerkat) is the source of this 245-nucleotide long non-coding RNA. RefSeq lists it as uncharacterized. The record is from RefSeq and is a predicted model, not a curated record. NCBI's taxonomy places the organism in Eukaryota, Metazoa, Chordata, Mammalia, Carnivora, Herpestidae. The transcript is spliced from 2 exons.